Eriocheir sinensis (Chinese mitten crab) is the source of this 1913-nucleotide long non-coding RNA. RefSeq lists it as uncharacterized. The transcript has 4 exons. NCBI's taxonomy places the organism in Eukaryota, Metazoa, Arthropoda, Malacostraca, Decapoda, Varunidae. The record is from RefSeq and is a predicted model, not a curated record.
AGACUGACGGAGGAGGGCGAGCAUCCGGCAGCGUUGGUGGGUCAGCAGUGAAAGUGGAGUCGCUCACCUAUACCUGUCCGGCGCCUCGUAAUUAAUCAAGGUACAGAAACUGACCCCCCCCCCCCCUUCCACCACCACCAUCACCACACCGCACGUAAGGGCCUCGAAGGGGACCCAUAUGUACCACCCUGAGACAUCCCCUGACGCGAGGCUGCCGCAGGAGACGCCGCCGCAGUGAAGAGAUGGCUCUGGAAAAAAUAAUUGAUUAAAUAGUCUGCUUGCGUGGACGUCUCAGUGAGUGUCACGGUAAGUAAAGUUCAGUGAAGGUGUCGAUAGGAAGAGUAAAGAUAAAAGAAAAAGGUGUAAAAACAGCGAUCGAGGUGUUAUUGAGAUAAACUGAAGUAGAUGUGUCGAUAUAAAUGCUGAAGUGAUUCGAUAGAUAAAUUACAGUGAAUGUGUUCAUAGAAAAACUAUUAAUAAACAAAAAAAAAAGUGAGAGACGUGUUGCUAAGACAAAACUGAAGUGAAUUUGUCGAUAAAAUUGAACUCCAGUGAAAGUGUCGAUUAAUGAAAAUAGAAAAGAAGAAAAUUAAAGAAAAAAGCGACCGUGUUACUGAGAUAAACUGAAGUGGAUAGACAGAUAGAUAGAGAUGCUUAAGUGUCUUGAUGGAUAAAUAAGUGUGAAUUGGUUGAUGGAAAAACAAUAUAAAUAAACGAAGAAAAUCACAAAAUAAAUGAGAGACGUGUUGCUCAGAUAAACUAAGGUGGAUGUGUCUAUAGAUAAAGAAAAUAUAGAAAAAGAAGAAAAUGUGAGAAAAAAGUAAUAAAGGUGUUACUAGAUAAACUGAAGUGGAUGUGUCGAUAGAUAAAGAAUUAUAGAAAAAGUUGAUAAAUAUGUUACUAGAUAAACUACAGUGAAUGUGUCAGUAGAAAAAAACAAUAAAACUCAAAGGAGAAAAAACAAAGUAAAAUACAGAUACACGAAUUAUGAAAAGACGAUAGAUAAACUCCAAUGAAAGUGUCGAUAGAAAAAAUAAAUAUAACAAACAAAAAAGCGAGAGGAAAAAUUUGAUACACAAAGGAAAAAAAACUAACAUAGAAGAAAAAACGAAAAACCAAAACAAAUACAAACAAAUUAGCGAAAAAGAACAACAAAUAAUUAACAAAAAGUAGAGAAAAUAAGAAAAGAAAACCAAAAACACGAACGAAAAAGGAAAAAGACAGAGCAAGAAAGAGGAGGAGAAAAAGAGAAGGAAGGAAGAGGAAAAGGACAAUGAACAGGGAGGAAAGGAACAAGGAGAUAAAUAAGAAGAGGAAGAAGAAGAAGAAAAAGAGGAAGGAAGGAGGAGAGGAGACAGUGAAUAGGUCCACAGUGUUUAUAGCUUAAGUAGUUUCAUCUCCCGCUUCACACAAACCACAGGAUGAAGCGUGGGUCUGUGUCAAGCCCUCACACAACACCGAGCGAGUGGUGAUGAUGGAGGAUGAGCGAGUGUGAUGUUGACUGAAUGAUGUGUAUGGAUGGUGAGGAUUUGGUGAUGAUUUUAGUGGUUAUUAAGAAUAGAGUGGAGAAGAAAUAGUUGAAAUGGUGAUAAUGCUCGUGAUAAUGAAGGAUGGUGAUGGAGAAAUGGUGCGAUGGUUGUGAUGUUGAAUGGUGUAGUAAUUGCCACUGAUCUGUGUAUAUAUAUCUUUUUUAUGUAUAUGUGUAUGUAGAUAUUGCUUUCCAGGAUUGCUAUGUAUAUAUGUGCGUAUAAAAAAAUAGUUCUAUAUAUGUAGGGUAGUGUGUGGGUGUGCGUGUGGGUGGGUGUGUGUGAGGGCGUUCAGGGUUCUCCUCACGAGCUUCCUGCGAGUUGUGUGUGUUGCGAGUUGCUUCACUCACCACCACCACCACCACCAUCACUACCACCAUGAAGACG